Molecule: ribosomal RNA, 120 nt
Organism: Pteropus vampyrus (large flying fox)
Lineage: Eukaryota; Metazoa; Chordata; Mammalia; Chiroptera; Pteropodidae
Source: Ensembl
GUCUACAGCCAUGCCGCCCUGAACAAGCCCAAUCCUCUCUGAUCUCAGAAGCUAAGCAGGGUCGGGUCUGGUUUAGUACUUGGAUGGGAGACCACCUACGAAGACCAGAUGCUGUAGGCG